AGUGUUUUGGUCUCCUUUUUAUGAGCUGGUUUCAGAAUCCAGAGGGCAGAAAUUUCCGUGGAAAAGUCCAGGAUAUAAAUCCCUAACCCAUUUCUUCCUUAAAUUUGUUGUUGGCAGAGACUCUCCUUCUCGUAGAUCAUUGACUGUCGAAGCCAAGAUUCGGGGUGUUCACUGUGGAUUAUCGACUGCCAGAAGCUCCAUUAUCGAAGCAAAGAACUUGAUUUCACAGAAGCCAAAGCAGA
This 242-nucleotide unclassified non-coding RNA is filed under the name Hevea brasiliensis (rubber tree). The record is from RNAcentral. Lineage: Eukaryota; Viridiplantae; Streptophyta; Magnoliopsida; Malpighiales; Euphorbiaceae.